Long non-coding RNA from Anguilla anguilla (European eel), 459 nucleotides. RefSeq lists it as uncharacterized. The record is from RefSeq and is a predicted model, not a curated record. The transcript is spliced from 3 exons. NCBI's taxonomy places the organism in Eukaryota, Metazoa, Chordata, Actinopteri, Anguilliformes, Anguillidae.
AAUUGAUUGCAAAGUUGAUGUAAAUGUAAAUACCUUCAAUAUGAUAUCUAGCAAUGUUUUUUGAAAGAAAUGAACAAAAAUUCAAAGUUCUGGAUUAAAUGAACCGGUGUUGUGAUAUCAUCUGUGCAGUGUUGAAAUUGGAAUCGCUAGAAGAAAAUCAAGAGUCUUGGGGCCCACCUACGUCUGCUGAUGUGUUCAACAAGGAGAACAAUCUGCAGAACAUCUCCUCUGGGACAGACAAGAAGAAUCACAAUGGACCUAUGGACCAGAUGGGUGCCUGCCAUGUUUUUUUUUCUCAGAGCUUCUGUACGUGUACAUUUACAUGGAGUAUUUAUUUGAAAGGACAAACAAAUGGAAAAUCUUCCAUUUCUUACUGUAAUUGUGUUUGCAUGCUGUAAAAAAUCUAAUGUACAGGUAUUGUAUUUUUGUACAAAAUAAAUGUCAUUACUGAUAAAUUGC